Molecule: long non-coding RNA, 482 nt
Filed under: Capsicum annuum
Lineage: Eukaryota; Viridiplantae; Streptophyta; Magnoliopsida; Solanales; Solanaceae
Description: long non-coding RNA (CANN_LNC000643)
Source: RNAcentral
ACCUACUACCUCUUUUAUUCUAAUUAUAUUCACCACCACCACUGCCGUCAACAACACUACAAUCAGCAACCACUAGUGGCUAAUUCCUACUACCAACCAACUCAUAUAUUACAACUAGCACCACCACUAACUACCACUAAUACAUCACAACCUCUACACAUUCUUUGGCCGCCACCACCAUUGUCACUAGUAAUACCACCUCUACCAAUACUUCAACCAGUACCAUAUCUAUUAUUUAAUCUCUAUAAUUUAUCUCUACUAACAACUAUCUCCACCAUCAAAACAAAUAAUAUCUCCAACUAGCACCAACACAUCGUCAAUCAUUAUGCAUUCAUGUUUCAACCAACACAAUCAACACCUUAAACUACUAACAUCAAGUAAUGUCACAUCACAACCACCACUACCACCUCCAAUCGCCACCAUCAUAACAGUCACUACAAUACCAACCAUCACAAUUAUCACCACCAACAAUAUUAAUCACU